CUAGUGGCGGACGGGUGAGUAACGCGUGGGUAACCUGCCUUAUACAGGGGGAUAACAACCAGAAAUGGUUGCUAAUACCGCAUAAGCGCACAGGACCGCAUGGUCCGGUGUGAAAAACUCCGGUGGUAUAAGAUGGACCCGCGUUGGAUUAGCUAGUUGGCAGGGUAACGGCCUACCAAGGCGACGAUCCAUAGCCGGCCUGAGAGGGUGAACGGCCACAUUGGGACUGAGACACGGCCCAG
This 242-nucleotide ribosomal RNA is filed under the name uncultured bacterium. Its description in RNAcentral is "partial 16S ribosomal RNA". It matches the Rfam family "Bacterial small subunit ribosomal RNA", at positions 92 to 334 of the family's 1533-position model. The record is from RNAcentral.